UAGGCAGUUGGCGGGGUAACGGCCCACCAAACCUACGAUGGAUAGGGGUUCUGAGAGGAAGGUCCCCCACAUUGGAACUGAGACACGGUCCAAACUCCUACGGGAGGCAGCAGUGAGGAAUAUUGGUCAAUGGACGAGAGUCUGAACCAGCCAAGUAGCGUGAAGGAUGACUGCCCUAUGGGUUGUAAACUUCUUUUAUACGGGAAUAAAGUGAGCCACGUGUGGCUUUUUGUAUGUACCGUAUGAAUAAGGAUCGGCUAACUCCGUGCCAGCAGCCGCGGUAAUACGGAGGAUCCGAGCGUUAUCCGGAUUUAUUGGGUUUAA
RNAcentral lists this ribosomal RNA (324 nucleotides) under uncultured bacterium. RNAcentral's name for it is "bacterial SSU rRNA". It matches the Rfam family "Bacterial small subunit ribosomal RNA", at positions 242 to 563 of the family's 1533-position model. The record is from RNAcentral.